ACGAUUUAUUUAUUGAUCACAAAUUAUAAAUAUUACAAGUCACAACUUAUUAUAUAAUCACAAUUUAUCAAAUUAUCAGUCACAUAUAAAUAAUAUUUUAGAUUACAAAUUAUUUUUUGAUCACAAUUUAUAUUUUCUUAUGGAUCACAUAUUAUAUAUUGGUCAUAUAUUAACUAAUUUAUUGGUUAUAGUCAACUAAAUAAUUUGUAAUCACCAUCAACACUUGUGACUAUCAUCUUACCACUACUUCCAGCAUCACCACCACCAUCGUCGUCAACAGAACUACCACCACCAUCACUCUCACAGUACGACAACCGCACCAACAGCAACACAGCCGCACACACACCAUCACAGUUGCCAGAACCACCACCACUGCCCCAACAGAUCCAUUGACACCAACAUCUGACCAUCACUUCCGCAACCACCACCAUGACCACCAUCGCCGCAUGCACACAAACACUCCCAACACCGUAUUUGCAUCUAAAUCCUGUCAAAUCGACCUUCCUUUGGCAACAAGAGCACCGAUUCACCUCUUGCUUCACCGGCACAACCUCCAUCGAAUUCUAAUCCUCUUUCUUUAAACCCUUCAAACUGACCUUCAUCUGGCAACUACAACACUGAUUCACUUCUCGCUUCACCAGCACAACCUCCAUUGAAUUCGAAUCCUCUUUCCUCAAACCCUUCCUGAUCUCCAUGGGUUUCAAUUUCCUCUCACACGAAGACCUCGAAGACGAGAUGGAUCUAAACGAUUUUUUCGAUCCUGCUACUUUCAUGACCACAGCGGACGCGGAACCUACAAAAAUCAUUGGUCGUAGCAACACCGCAUUUAACACACAACGUGAUGAUCUACGAGACUGCUGCCGUCGGCAACGUAAGAUAAAGAAAGAGAAAGAGGAGAAGCCGGAUGUAAAGAGAGAAAUGAGGGGGAAAUUGAUUAGGUUUGGGUUGAAAAUUGUAUAUUUAAUAUUUAAAUACGAAAUAUCUGAAUUGUGAAACGUAAAACUUCCAACCUAAUUUUAGAGUAUUGAAUUUUUAAAGUAUGAUUAUGUGUAAUUUUCACUUGAUAAAAUCCCUCCAAAAUACUCACAUGGAUGGACGGUCCUAAAAUAUUGUCACAAAAUAAAUAAAUAAAUAAACAAAAAUCUACACACCCUCCCUUGUAUGUGUUCUAGAGGGGUUCUCUCAAUCCCUCCUUUACACAAAAU
This 1205-nucleotide long non-coding RNA is filed under the name Olea europaea subsp. europaea. Lineage: Eukaryota; Viridiplantae; Streptophyta; Magnoliopsida; Lamiales; Oleaceae. The record is from RNAcentral.